AUGAACGCUGGCGGCGUGCCUAAUACCUGCAAGUCGAGCGAACAGACGAGGAGCUUGCUCCUCUGACGUUAGCGGCGGACGGGUGAGUAACACGUGGAUAACCUACCUAUAAGACUGGGAUAACUUCGGGAAACCGGAGCUAAUACCGGAUAAUAUAUUGAACCGCAUGGUUCAAUAGUGAAAGACGGUUUUGCUGUCACUUAUAGAUGGAUCCGCGCCGCAUUAGCUAGUUGGUAAGGUAACGGCUUACCAAGGCAACGAUGCGUAGCCGACCUGAGAGGGUGAUCGGCCACACUGGAACUGAGACACGGUCCAGACUCCUACGGGAGGCAGCAGUAGGGAAUCUUCCGCAAUGGGCGAAAGCUUGACGGAGCAACGCCGCGUGAGUGAUGAAGGUCUUCGGAUCGUAAAACUCUGUUAUUAGGGAAGAACAAAUGUGUAAGUAACUAUGCACGUCUUGACGGUACCUAAUCAGAAAGCCACGGCUAACUACGU
Molecule: ribosomal RNA, 495 nt
Filed under: uncultured bacterium
Lineage: Bacteria
Description: partial 16S ribosomal RNA
Rfam family: Bacterial small subunit ribosomal RNA
Source: RNAcentral